This 523-nucleotide long non-coding RNA is filed under the name Androctonus crassicauda. Lineage: Eukaryota; Metazoa; Arthropoda; Arachnida; Scorpiones; Buthidae. The record is from RNAcentral.
AUUGAAAUUUAUGUAAAUUGUUCAAGACUUCUAUAUUCAGUUUUUAGUAUAAUUCAGACUAUCAUAUAUAAGCCAUAUGCAUUAUGAUUGCAUUUGUCAUGCAUGAAAUACAUGAUAAGUGCAGUCAUAAUGAAUGUGCUACACUAAAGUAUUAUAUGUAACAUCAUACUACAUUGGCAGUUCAUUCACUGUAUGUAUCCAGUGAUAAAUAGACAAUGUGAAUAAAAAUGAUAUUCAUCGAUACUUUAACUAUAGAGGAAAGCCAUCUUGACACAAGCAGACACUAUCUGUUAUAGUAGAGUUAUUUAAUACAUAUGUAUAUAAACAUGAAAGGAAAUAGUAACACAUUGCACAAUAUCUACUAUCAAUUGCAAACAGAAAAUAUAUAUACAAUGUACAUUAGUAUAUUUCAUGCAUCCAUGACAAAUGCACCUAUAAUUGAUGAUCUGUAUAUAAUGAAAGUAGCAUCUUUUUAUUCAAAGACUACAUUUGUAAUAGUGUUGAUUGCAGAUCUAUGUCAUUC